Molecule: ribosomal RNA, 106 nt
Filed under: Patescibacteria group bacterium
Lineage: Bacteria
Source: RNAcentral
UCUGGUGAUUUGACGCCGUGGUCACACCCGAUCCCAUUCCGAACUCGGCAGUUAAGCGCGGUAGUGGCGAUGAUACUCGAAAGGGGAAAGUAGCCAGUCGCCAGAA